RNAcentral lists this ribosomal RNA (581 nucleotides) under uncultured bacterium. RNAcentral describes it as "partial 16S ribosomal RNA". It matches the Rfam family "Bacterial small subunit ribosomal RNA", at positions 355 to 929 of the family's 1533-position model. The record is from RNAcentral.
UGGGGAAUUUUGGACAAUGGGGGAAACCCUGAUCCAGCCAUCCCGCGUGUGCGAUGAAGGCCUUCGGGUUGUAAAGCACUUUUGGCAGGAAAGAAACGUCGCGGGUUAAUACCCCGCGAAACUGACGGUACCUGCAGAAUAAGCACCGGCUAACUACGUGCCAGCAGCCGCGGUAAUACGUAGGGUGCAAGCGUUAAUCGGAAUUACUGGGCGUAAAGCGUGCGCAGGCGGUUCGGAAAGAAAGAUGUGAAAUCCCAGAGCUUAACUUUGGAACUGCAUUUUUAACUACCGGGCUAGAGUGUGUCAGAGGGAGGUGGAAUUCCGCGUGUAGCAGUGAAAUGCGUAGAUAUGCGGAGGAACACCGAUGGCGAAGGCAGCCUCCUGGGAUAACACUGACGCUCAUGCACGAAAGCGUGGGGAGCAAACAGGAUUAGAUACCCUGGUAGUCCACGCCCUAAACGAUGUCAACUAGCUGUUGGGGCCUUCGGGCCUUGGUAGCGCAGCUAACGCGUGAAGUUGACCGCCUGGGGAGUACGGUCGCAAGAUUAAAACUUAAAUGAAUUGAACGGGGGUCAUAGCUG